UGGGAGGCCUUGGAUAACAGAAGUCAUGG
RNAcentral lists this non-coding RNA (29 nucleotides) under Rattus norvegicus (Norway rat). Lineage: Eukaryota; Metazoa; Chordata; Mammalia; Rodentia; Muridae. The record is from RNAcentral.